RNAcentral lists this non-coding RNA (21 nucleotides) under Caenorhabditis elegans. The record is from RNAcentral. Lineage: Eukaryota; Metazoa; Nematoda; Chromadorea; Rhabditida; Rhabditidae.
UCAGCGAAUUCAGAGAAAAAC